GACGAACGCUGGCGGCGUGCUUAACACAUGCAAGUCGAACGGAAAGGCCCUGCUUUUGUGGGGUGCUCGAGUGGCGAACGGGUGAGUAACACGUGAGUAACCUGCCCUUGACUUUGGGAUAACUUCAGGAAACUGGGGCUAAUACCGGAUAGGAGCUCCUGCUGCAUGGUGGGGGUUGGAAAGUUUCGGCGGUUGGGGAUGGACUCGCGGCUUAUCAGCUUGUUGGUGGGGUAGUGGCUUACCAAGGCUUUGACGGGUAGCCGGCCUGAGAGGGUGACCGGCCACAUGGGGACUGAGAUACGGCCCAGCCUCCUACGGGAGGCAGCAGUGGGGAAUAUUGCACAAGGGGCGGAAGCCUGAUGCAGCAACGCCGCGUGCGGGAUGACGGCCUUCGGGUUGUAAACCGCUUUCGCCUGUGACGAAGCGUGAGUGACGGUAAUGGGUAAAGAAGCACCGGCUAACUACG
Molecule: ribosomal RNA, 466 nt
Filed under: uncultured bacterium
Lineage: Bacteria
Description: partial 16S ribosomal RNA
Rfam family: Bacterial small subunit ribosomal RNA
Source: RNAcentral